This is a long non-coding RNA of Papaver somniferum (opium poppy), 1816 nucleotides long. RefSeq lists it as uncharacterized. NCBI's taxonomy places the organism in Eukaryota, Viridiplantae, Streptophyta, Magnoliopsida, Ranunculales, Papaveraceae. The record is from RefSeq and is a predicted model, not a curated record. The transcript has 5 exons.
CUUUUCCCCAAAAAUAACUUGCAUCUCUUUAAAUUCAAUCGCCAUCCCUAUUCUUCUCCGCCAUUAACGAUUUCCCAGAGAGUUAGGAACGAGGUUUAUAUCUUCAAUUUUUGAGUGAAAUUUGUUGAAUCCGAUUUUCAUUAUUUCACACUGUUUGAAAAAUGGAAAUAGGAAACUCAAAUUACCAGAUUCCUUGGUUGAGCACAUCCUAUCUUUUACUGAUACGAAAUCUGCUGUUCAGACUUCCACGUUAUGAAUCUCUCUUAAAAGUCCCAUCACACGUCGGGCCCAAAUUUCUGUCACUUGACUACUAAUGCGUCAGCCAUAAUGUUAGGACGGACAGAGAUUUUGGAUCCCUAGCUGCAUACAUAGAUGGAUUGCCACUGCUGUCAGCCAUAAUGUUCAAGAGAUGUGUAUUUGCCUAACCCCUGACAGAGAUUUUGGAUCCCUCUUUGUCUAUGUACUUGUAAAUCGCUGACAAAGCUUGAGCUUGAAUUGCAUGGUUAUGAAGAUGAUGGUUAUGACUCCGAGAUUAUUCUACCUGAUCAUGAAAUGAGUUUACCUCUGCUGAAAUCAUUGCGUCUGAUAUUUUGGGAUAUAUCAUUUGGUAAUAAUGAAGAACUAACGAAUAGGUUCUUUCGAGUUUUCCUUCUCUAGAAUCGUUGAUAAUGAAAGUACAGGAAGAUCCAUUUCCUGAAAUGAAUCUCAACAUUUCCUUGCCUAGACUUAAGCAUUUUGAAUUUGAUAGUUGGGAUUCUGAAAGCAGUGGAGAGGUUAAACUGCAUGCUCCAAGUCUGUCAUCCUUCAUUUUCAAUAAUUACAUGUCGACAAAUCUCACUUUAAUGAAUCUUUCAUCUCUAGCCACUGCUGAUAUUAAGAUACGCAUUAGUAGUCAAGUGACAGAAAUUUGGGCCCGACGUGUGAUGGGACUUUUAAGAGAGAUUCAUAACGUGGAAGUCUUGACCUUAGAUCAUAAUUUCCUCGAGGCUUUAGGUAGAGCUCCUGAUGAUAUACUGCACACUCAACCGACUGAAGAUUUUAAUAUUCAACAUUUGAAGCGCUCCAGACCUACCUGUCGAGGGACUGCCUGCGUUCAAUAUUCUUCGUACUAAACAAUUCUCCCAACGCAGAAUUCAUUUCCCUGCGGAUAUCAAAGGCCCCAGCGUGUCCAUUUUAUAACGAGGUGGAAUUUGAUCCGGAUAACAUAGGAGACGACUGGGAUGCAGGGUUGUCUUUGCCGUGUAGGAUAUGUCAUCUAAAGAUUGCCGAGAUUAAAGGUCUUCAUGGGAAUGCUAAUGAACUGAAAUUUUUGGAGCUUCUGUUGAAACAUGCCAUGGUCUUGGAGAAAGUGGUACUCACCAGUUCAACUAAACAAGACUCAGAAAGGGAGAAACGGAUGGCGAAAUUUAGUGAGAUGCUGUUAACAUUUCCUACAGCAUCUAAGAAAAUCUUUAUCUUGUUAAAAUUCUAAGUGCUUUUCAAUGGUCUGCGGAUUUGCACAAUCAUGGAAUCGGAUCUCUUCAAACCCGGAUGAGCUAAGAGAGCUGUUUUGCAAUUUCUUUGAGUGUAGAUGCGGAAAUCUCUUACAAGUUGCAAUGAUAUUUAUCAAAAUCCAGUACAUGAUUGGCAAGGUUGUCAUUUCCCUGUAUGCGCAAACUUAACUCUUAUAUAUAUAGAACUCACCCGCACAUACAGUGGCUAUUUAAUAAUGCCCGUCUGCAUAAAUUUCUUGUAUGAUCAGAGGGGUAACCGGUGAGGAAAUUUUGUACAGGAACCUCAUUCUUUCGUCCGACUCUAAUGAAUUCCAGAGUUAUAA